Molecule: long non-coding RNA, 2992 nt
Organism: Cavia porcellus (domestic guinea pig)
Lineage: Eukaryota; Metazoa; Chordata; Mammalia; Rodentia; Caviidae
Exons: 4
Source: RefSeq, a predicted model, not a curated record
CGGUCACCUCUCUCAUCUGUCGUUGGCAAAUCAAUGCUGUUUGUCCCCAGCUAAUUAACUCGCUUUCGUGUGGAAGACUUAAUCCCUCGGGCAGUCCCUAGGAUCUAGUUGACAGUUGAUUUCUAGGGCGCCACUGGUGCAGAGCGGGUAUGGGACUGAAUGCGGCUCUCCCUGCCGCCGGCGCGCUCGCUCGCUUGCUUGCUCUCUCGCUCGCUCUCUGAGUAGGGAUUUGUAGGCCGUCUCGGAGUCAUACUUUUACAGACAAAUCCUAAGAACAGGAUGCUCCAGUUGAUUGACUUUUAAAGGUUCGUCCCUAGCUUUGCUGACAGACAUGGGCUCAAACUACCCUCUCUACUGCUAGAAUUUUCUGCGCGGCUAAAAUGAUAAGUAUGAAAUAAAAGUGGCCUUAUUUUAAGAAUGUAGAGAGAAACUCCAUGGCCUCCAGGGUCUGGCAUUCUCUGGCCCACACGUGGUGUGGGGGCAUACAUAUUGCUUAGGUUUGGGGUGGAGCCUAAGGGGUAUUACUGAUGCACUGAAAUGGAAUUCAUUUCCCGCCACAGGUAGGGUUUAGGGGCGGGGAAGAUGACUUCAAGAUAGAGCCUCUUGGUUCCGCCUCCCAGCCUCCCACCGCUGCGGCUUCCCAUCCAGGGCACAAAAUCCUUUAAUCUAUCACUGAAUAACUCCCUGUACAGAGACUCUUCACUUGCUCCUGGCCUCUAUUUCUUUCUUUGUUUGAGAGGCAAGAUGUUCGCCAACUCUAUCUAUUCCAUGAAAGAGCCUAUUGUACCUCAAAGACAAUGAAAUAUGUUUAGUGAUUCAAAGAGCUUGGAAAUUGCCACCAGCAGUAGUCAUCUAGCUUUCCUUCAAAUCUGGGCUGCAAUGUCAGAAACCACAGAAAUUGCAGGUAUCUUUUGCAUGAAGAAGAAGGCCAUGGGGGAAGACUAAAAAAAUAGUCUUUGCCAGAAAGCUCAAGAGUCUACAUGGAAGCCAGCCGAUGAUGUCCAAACCAAAGGUGAAGACUAAAGCUUCUCCAAAGAAUGGAAUGCAUUCAUCCUUCUUCUUUCCCUUUUAUACCUCCAUGUAAUGAGCCACCCUAGGGUGGGUCUUCUACACCCUCGGGUAUAGAGUUGCUAAACCCAUUUGGUUAAGCUUCUAAAUGUCUCAAAUUGACACAAUCAAUCAAUCACUACAAGGAGCUACCAGGCUGUAGAUACUAAUGAGGCAUUUUAUUUAUUUGUUUGUUUAUUCAUUUAUUGAGGCAAGGUUGACCUUGAUUUCCUUAUGUAGCCUAUGCUGGUCUAGGCACAUGAUAUGAGGUUUAACCCUCACAGUUCUAUUUGGGUUUGUUCACUUUUGUUUUUAUUUUUAUUUUUUGAGUCAGGGUCUUACUAUACAGUUCAGGUUGGCCUAUGUAACCCAGGCUGAUGUCAUAUUCACUGUUGUACUCUAGAAAAAAUAACUUUGUUAUAUUUGUAUCAUACCAAAAUACCUGUAAUGUGGCCAUACUGUAUAUAUGUUUCCCUCCCCACUUCUCCCUCUGGGUGACCUAGUUGAUAUGUUAAUCAAUGCUCUCCUCUGUAAAGAAUUGACUUCCCUAUCCUCUCCUAAGGAAAACAAAGGUUGUUAAUUGCUGCUAGACUCUUCUAUUCUCUGCUGAGGAAAACAGGAUCUUCCCAUUAGCCUAUCUCCUGAUCCACACCCACGCCCAUGACCUUUACUUUGGGAGCUGUGAUAGGUACUGGGAGGGGCGGCAAGUUUAGAGGAAGGACACAGCUUUUGCAGUCUCUAGCUGCACUGUGUUGCUGGGCCCAGGGUAAGAUAAAUCAGCGCUGCUUUUUAAAAUAUGUUUUUGCCUCAUUUUUUAAACUGGAGCUUGGGGGUUCGUUUGUGGAUUACAAGAUUCAUCACAAUCCUCCUACCCCUGCCCCCUGCAUUCUGGGAUUAUAGGCAAGGGCUACCAUACCAGGCUUGGGGUACUCCACUUUUAAAGGCAAGGAGGCAGCUCUGAGAGAUUAUUGAAUUUUCCUAAAACUACACAGUUUGUAAGUUAUGGAGCAGUAAUUUGAAAGGGUUUUGGCGCAGACAGGACACUGUAGCGGGUGAAGCCUUAGAGGCGGAACCAAGGAGCUCCUAUCUCCCCCACCCCUAGGAAUUACUCUGGCGCCAAACAAAGACCAAUGGGCUACCCGUGCAUCCCUAAUGCCCCCAUAGGUUCCACCCCAAACCGAAGCUACUUACAUACCCCCCCCCCCCCCCCCCGCCACGCCACGUGUCGGCCAGAAAGAAAGCCGGAAUCCAGCGGUCGGGGGUGUUUUGGUUUUCUCUCUCCGAGUUCUCAGAAUAAAGGCCUCUUUUGUUUUAUACUUCUCAUCUUUUGGAUAUAAUCUUAUCAGAAUUAAAACCCAGGUCUCCCUGUCAAGGUUUAUGCGUUUUAACUAAAUCACUCACAGGACACAAACCUACCAGUUUUUUGCAAAUGAUGAAAUCUCAGUUCAUGUGCAUAGGAAAGGCCAAAGCAUAAUCUCAGGGUCGUUCUCCACAAUACAACUGUUAAAACCUCCAUGCCUCAUUGCUAGGAGUUUCAUUGGAAAGACCAGGCAUGGUCUGAUGAGCCACAUUAAAAUAGAAGAGAAAGAGGAGUCAGGUGUUGUUAAGAGCUUGCUUAUCAUGUGCUAGGGUCUGGUUCCAGCUCCAGUACUGGGGGGGAAAAAGGUUGCCUGGAGAACCUGCAGGGGACGUUAGAAGGCCACUGAGCUUAUGGCUCAUUUAUUAAUAACACAGUUCUCCAAGGGGCCAAAGGACACUGUGACUAGUGGGGCCCCUUUGUUUGGGAGUAGGGGGCAGGAAUAAAACCAAGUGAAGCUUCCAGAGGAAAAGUGAUAUAUUGCUUUCUUUCCUUUAUUGGAUAAAUGUGUAAUUUUUUGGAAUUAUCUUUCACUCUUCUUCCUAAUACCGUUUCCCAUAAUUAAAAAAAAAAUCUUUAGUUUCCUUA